GAAGCAAGAGGUCCAGUUACUCGUUAUCCGUGCCAAACAUCUGCUCUAUGCGGCCCAUGCACAUGCGUCGAGAAUUGGUGUAAGUGUCCGCCAGAUAAAAUAUCGAAGUUCAUUCUUCAAGACAUCUCUACACACCCGCAAGCACAUAAGGAAAUGCCAUAAUCAGCGCUACUUGAUACAUCAAUAUAUAGCAUAUACUUAUGACGAGCCCCAAAAAUCUUAUGUUCUCCCA
Molecule: long non-coding RNA, 232 nt
Filed under: Prunus persica (peach)
Lineage: Eukaryota; Viridiplantae; Streptophyta; Magnoliopsida; Rosales; Rosaceae
Description: long non-coding RNA (PPER_LNC006775)
Source: RNAcentral